UUUAAUCAAAAUCCCAUUCAUGAAAACAAAUUUCUUACUCUUCGAUUUUAUAUUUCAUCUUCCAUUAAAUACCAAAAUUUAUUCUCUUUUUUUUUAAUUUUAUUAUGAUGUUCGUCGGAGACAAUAUUAGUUGAUUUGAAAUAUCAGACCCAUUAUCUACCUCAAUUUCAGCACAAUCAACGUCUGUCGCACCACGAUCAUUGCUUCCAAAGACGAUGGCGUCAACAAGUUAGAAGAAGAAGGUAAUUAACAUUGAUACAGAUUCAAAGUGAUACUACUUUUGAAUUGAAAUAUCAUUACAACGAUAAAAUAAAUGAAAAGGGAGAAGAAUAUCGAAGAGACCUAGCCAUCAACAAUGACGAUGAAAGAAAGUUUUAUCAGUGAAAUUCGUAAUGGGUUCCAAAGAAUGUGCAAGCUAUUUAUUGUUAAGUAUCUCACAUCGAAAAAGGUCGGGUAAUUAGUCUCCUUAUAUAGACUUGGACAAUCCUCCCCUCAUGAGCUAGCUUUUGAGGUUGAGUUAGGCCCAAGAUCCAUUCUUUACAUGGUAUCAAAGUUAUCCCCAUCCCAAAUCUUUGUUCACUGAUGUUGGGCCCCAUAUUAUGUUGUCCGCGCUUCAAGACCUGGGUGUGCAGAUCCCACAUCGAAAAAGGGAUGAGUAAUUGAUCUCCUUAUAUGGACUUGGACAAUCCUCCCCUUAAGAGUUAGCUUUUAAGGUUGAGUUAGGCCCAAGAUCCAUUCUUUACAUUUAUAAUUUGUCAAGCAAUUAUAUUAAAAUUCCAAGUUAGGCCCAAGAUCCAUUCUUUAUAUUUAUAAAGGAAAAGGACAUGGCAUGGUCAUUUUAAAAAAAUGACUCAUAAUUGAAAAGGUGGACAUGUUGUAGCCAGUCGGCUAAAGUAAUUCCCUUUUUUAGCCAUUUGGCCCAAUUGAACACAUGUAGUCUCUAUACUCAAUUGAUACACUUUUAUACUAUAUCGAUACACUUUUUAAAAAAGAGAACGGA
Molecule: long non-coding RNA, 1000 nt
Filed under: Capsicum annuum
Lineage: Eukaryota; Viridiplantae; Streptophyta; Magnoliopsida; Solanales; Solanaceae
Description: long non-coding RNA (CANN_LNC019932)
Source: RNAcentral